GUCUCUGUGGCGCAAUCGGUUAGCGCGUUCGGCUGUUAACUGAAAGAUUGGUGGUUCAAGCCCACCCAGGGACG
RNAcentral lists this transfer RNA (74 nucleotides) under Danio rerio (zebrafish). RNAcentral's name for it is "tRNA-Asn (GTT) (tRNA-Asn-GTT-14-1)". It matches the Rfam family "tRNA". Rfam says of the family: Transfer RNA (tRNA) molecules are approximately 80 nucleotides in length. Their secondary structure includes four short double-helical elements and three loops (D, anti-codon, and T loops). Further hydrogen bonds mediate the characteristic L-shaped molecular structure. tRNAs have two regions of fundamental functional importance: the anti-codon, which is responsible for specific mRNA codon recognition, and the 3' end, to which the tRNAs corresponding amino acid is attached (by aminoacyl-tRNA synthetases). tRNAs cope with the degeneracy of the genetic code in two manners: having more than one tRNA (with a specific anti-codon) for a particular amino acid; and 'wobble' base-pairing, i.e. permitting non-standard base-pairing at the 3rd anti-codon position. The record is from Rfam by way of RNAcentral. Lineage: Eukaryota; Metazoa; Chordata; Actinopteri; Cypriniformes; Danionidae.